This 446-nucleotide ribosomal RNA is filed under the name uncultured bacterium. RNAcentral's name for it is "SSU rRNA". It matches the Rfam family "Bacterial small subunit ribosomal RNA", at positions 26 to 518 of the family's 1533-position model. The record is from RNAcentral.
AGAGCGAACGCUGGCGGCAGGCCUAACACAUGCAAGUCGAGCGCCCGUAGCAAUACGGGAGCGGCAGACGGGAUAGUAACACGUGGGAACGCGCCCUUCGGUUCGGAAUAACUCAGGGAAACUUGAGCUAAUACCGAAUACGCCCUUACGGGGAAAGAUUUAUUGCCGAAGGAACGGCCCGCGUCCGAUUAGCUAGUUGGUGAGGUAAUGGCUCACCAAGGCUACGAUCGGUAGCUGGUCUGAGAGGAUGACCAGCAUCACUGGGACUGAGACACGGCCCAGACUCCUACGGGAGGCAGCAGUGGGGAAUAUUGGACAAUGGGCGCAAGCCUGAUCCAGCCAUGCCGCGUGGAUGAUGAAGGCCUUAGGGUUGUAAAGUCCUUUUAACGGGAAGAUAAUGACGGUACCCGUAGAAUAAGCCCGGCUAACUUCGUGCCAGCAGCCGC